AGCUGCAUAUCAUAUCUCUUGAAUUACCCCAUGGAAAAAAUAUUUAUCAAGGAUGAAAUUAACUACCAAGCUGAGGGACAGCACAAGAAUAGAACACAGGCAGAGAACAGGUCUUCCAUUGGCUGCAUGCUUGAGACGAGAUUUCCCUCCAGCAAUAGCUGUAGAUGAAACAGAGAAGGUGGUAAAGAACAACAGAGCUUUUCUUCUGUGAACACUACCACCAAUGAGCUCUUGGACCCUGGUUUUGUAUACUGCUGUCCUGCACCAUGAAUUGUGUUUCUCUGACUUACAUGCACAGAGGCUGCUCAAGGGAUGGAACAAUCUACAUGUCUGACACUGUUUGGUAUUUUUCACUGAGCUAAUGAACACACCCAUACAGCAAGGGUCACUGCUGGCUUGGACCUAUUCUUCAAUGGUGAGGAAGGAUGUCGUCAAACCACUAAAUCCAUCCAGGACAUAGAAGCAACAAUACCCAAAAAUAUGCAUGUGAAUCCAGCAAAAUUAGAGCUGCAGUGAAGAUUUGAUAAUAUCAGCUGGGAGCAGCUAGGAAAAGACCAGAGGAACAGCUAACAGAAACUUCCUUGCUCUUUCACAGCCAGAUGUUAGGUGACUGCUGUAUGGUGUUAAGAGAGUUCAGUACAGAAGCAUGUGUGAGACCAUUAUCCACCCCUAUCCUAAACAAUUUCUGCAUACUUUUUAUCACCACCUGGAUUCAAUAAUCAAGCCAAGCAUUUACUGACUCAGUCCCAUACUUCUAAUCUUACACAGCAAGGUCUCAUGGAGCAAUGGAUCUCCUAAACUCUUGAAGUCCAAGGAUACCACAAGUCAUUUUUUUUAUUCCUCUUAAGUCCCUUUUUUCCUUAUUUUAUUUAAUGAAGGAAAAAAAAAUGUUUUCCUUUUGUAUCUGUCUUUCUGGUAAGGGUAAUCAGCUGUCUAGAGUGGUCCCUGGAGCUCAUAUACACUUCUUCCCCCAUUAUUCUCCUUUUAAGGUCUGGGAUGCAAUGGUGCAUCAAUGCAUUGAUGCUUCUUUAUUUCCGAAGUACCUCUCCCAUAGCCCACUGAUAUUUCCCUGCUGGCUUCAUCCCUUUGGCAUCUAUUUUAAAAAAUAAAUUUGGGGAGUAAACAACCCUCUUUUGGAAUAGUUUUUGAUUUUAGUGUUUUUAGUCAACUACUGGGUUUCCUGGUAGCCUUUAGAGCUAAUAAUUGUUUAUUUUCUGUCCCUGGAAAAUGUGUAAAGACUGUGACAGACUUUCCACCUCUCCCUGCUGAAUACUGAGACACAAGUAGUAAUUCACUUUCCCAGCAAUAUCCCCCUUUUUGUCAAGGUAGCCGGUUGCUCAGGAAGGUGAUAGCUGUCUUCCUGAGUGACCUUUGGCUUCCUAUACACCAAAUUUAUAAAAUCUUUUAUUGUGUUCACAUCUUUUCUCAUCUUCUUUUCCUGUCUCAGCUUUUUGGAUCAUUUUCUCGCAUUCUUCUUUCACAAUAGGCUCUUGUACCAAUUCUUCUAGUGCUGACCCUGCUGAUUUAUAGGUCUCAUAUUCUUCUUUAUUGCUCUUUGUAUUUCCCUUGUCUUACACAGUGGUCAUUUCUACUCCAAGUAUAUUUAUUUCUCAAUGGUAUACAGAUUUCUUGAACUCUGUGGACUAUAGCUUUGAGUAUUUUCCCAUUGUAGUCUACCGCUUCACUGUCUUUUGUAAUUUGUUGGAAAAUACAUAUGCCUCUGCUAGUGUUUUCCAUGAGUUUAAUGUUCUUGCACUUCCAAUUUGGGGGAGUCACCAGUUCCUGAUUUCAGAACUCAUUAAAUUUUGGCCUGUAUUUUUAUAUCCUCUUCUGUUAGCCCUUCUGCAUGAAGCAUAGCAAAGCUGGGUAGAUGCCAGCUUCCACAAUGCAAGCCCACAGCUUUAAUUACGUAUUUGUAAUCUUUGCUAUAGUUCCCAUAUAGCGUGUGAGUGCUUCCCAGAUAUGAACAAGCUUGUUUUCACACUACCCUGUGAGAAUAGCAAGUAUUAUUACUUACAUUUUAUGGGAAACCAAGAUACAGAAAUUAAGAUCCGCCUUUGUGAAGGCACUUAAGUGCCUACCUAGAAUCCAGCUCAGAAUAAAAACUGCUGUCUGAUUCUU
Long non-coding RNA from Dromaius novaehollandiae (emu), 2121 nucleotides. RefSeq lists it as uncharacterized. NCBI's taxonomy places the organism in Eukaryota, Metazoa, Chordata, Aves, Casuariiformes, Dromaiidae. The transcript has 4 exons. The record is from RefSeq and is a predicted model, not a curated record.